AGAUCAAAAAGAUCAUGAGGAGGACCAGAAAUAUGAAGACAAGCAAAAUAAACUUCUUAUGAGCCAGGUGGCCUGUGACCUGGGCUGCCGGCUGAAGACGGAAGAAAAUGACGCAGAUGAGGAUGAAGACGUUCAUGUCGCAGAGGCUGAGAUAAUACAGGAGUCACGUGCCCCCAGGCUCAUCGGGGAGGUGCCAAAGGUUGAUAUCAGGAGAGUCCCUGAAGACUC
Saimiri boliviensis boliviensis (Bolivian squirrel monkey) is the source of this 228-nucleotide non-coding RNA. NCBI's taxonomy places the organism in Eukaryota, Metazoa, Chordata, Mammalia, Primates, Cebidae. The record is from RefSeq and is a predicted model, not a curated record.